Molecule: non-coding RNA, 265 nt
Organism: Pelobates cultripes (western spadefoot toad)
Lineage: Eukaryota; Metazoa; Chordata; Amphibia; Anura; Pelobatidae
Source: the annotation of a GenBank genome assembly
CAAAAGCGCUUUUCAGAAUGAUUAACCCCUGUCCUGCCAGUGAUCACUAUACAGAUCACAGGCUCUUGCACAGCAGCACUUAUUUUGCAGUCUGUUCAUUUUUUUAGGGGUUAAUUUUUUUUGUCUGAUUUUUUUUUUUUUGUGACAGGUCACAAAGUAAAGUGAUUGUGAUCGUGUCACAUGGGUCACGGAAGUCAACCAGCGCUGAGCAGUCAUAUGCCACCCUUGCGCUAGAGUCUGACGCGUCUAUGUCAGACUUCGACCC